CCCCGAAAGCUAUUUAGGUAGCGCCUCGGACGAAUACCAUAGGGGGUAGAGCACUGUUUCGGCUAGGGGGUCAUCCCGACUUACCAAACCGAUGCAAACUCCGAAUACCUAUGAGUACUAUCCGGGAGACAGACUGCGGGUGCUAACGUCCGUAGUCAAGAGGAAAACAAUCCAGACCGCCAGCUAAGGCCCCAAAAUCAUAGUUAAGUGGGAAACGAUGUGGGAAGGCAUAGACAGCUAGGAGGUUGGCUUAGAAGCAGCCACCCUUUAAAGAAAGCGUAAUAGCUCACUAGUCGAGUCGGCCUGCGCGGAAGAUGUAACGGGGCUAAAACUAUGUGCCGAAGCUGCGGAUGUAUACUUUGUAUACGUGGUAGGGGAGCGUUCUGUAAGCCGAUGAAGGUGUGUUGAGAAGCAUGCUGGAGGUAUCAGAAGUGCGAAUGCUGACGUGAGUAACGACAAAACGGGUGAAAAACCCGUUCGCCGAAAGACCAAGGGUUCCAGUCCAACGUUAAUCGGGGCUGGGUGAGUCGACCCCUAAGGCGAGGCCGAAAGGCGUAGUCGAUGGGAAAAUGGUUAAUAUUCCAUUACUUCUGUGUAAUGCGAUGAGAGGACGGAGAAGGCUAAAUCAGCCUGGCGUUGGUUGUCCAGGUGAAAGGAUGUAGGCAUGUAUCUUAGGCAAAUCCGGGGUACUCUAUGCUGAGAUCUGAUAGCAAGCUGUACUUGUACAGCGAAGUGGUUGAUGCCAUGCUUCCAGGAAAAGUCUCUAAGCUUCAGUUACACAGGAAUCGUACCCGAAACCGACACAGGUGGUCAGGUCGAGUAGACCAAGGCGCUUGAGAGAACUCUGCUGAAGGAACUAGGCAAAAUGGUACCGUAACUUCGGGAGAAGGUACGCUGUUGUUGGUGAUGGAACUCGCUUCCUGAGCUGACGACAGCCGCAGAAACCAGGCCGCUGCAACUGUUUAUUAAAAACAUAGCACUCUGCAAACACGAAAGUGGACGUAUAGGGUGUGAUGCCUGCCCGGUGCUGGAAGGUUAAUUGAUGGGGUUAGCGUAAGCGAAGCUCUUGAUCGAAGCCCCAGUAAACGGCGGCCGUAACUAUAACGGUCCUAAGGUAGCGAAAUUCCUUGUCGGGUAAGUUCCGACCUGCACGAAUGGCAUAAUGAUGGCGGCGCUGUCUCCAGCAGAGGCUCAGUGAAAUCGAAAUCGCUGUGAAGAUGCAGUAAAGGUUCACGGGGUCUUUCCGUCUAGCCGCGGGUACAC
This 1263-nucleotide ribosomal RNA is filed under the name Acinetobacter baumannii. Its description in RNAcentral is "bacterial LSU rRNA". It matches the Rfam family "Bacterial large subunit ribosomal RNA", at positions 857 to 2109 of the family's 2925-position model. The record is from RNAcentral. Lineage: Bacteria; Pseudomonadati; Pseudomonadota; Gammaproteobacteria; Moraxellales; Moraxellaceae.